Molecule: small RNA, 308 nt
Filed under: Pan troglodytes (chimpanzee)
Lineage: Eukaryota; Metazoa; Chordata; Mammalia; Primates; Hominidae
Description: processed transcript
Source: RNAcentral
CGCGCCCGCGUCCGGGAAGGCCAAGCUGACGCACCCGGGGAAGGCGAUCCUGGCAGGCGGCCUGGCGGGUGGCAUCGAGAUCUGCAUCACUUUCCCCACCGAGUACGUGAAGACGCAGCUGCAGCUGGACGAGCGCUCGCACCCGCCGCGGUACCGGGGCAUCGGUGAGGAGGGGGAGGCCGCGGCGCCGCGGGGGGGCGGGUACCCAGGGCGGCGGCACCGAGGGCCGUGGGGUCCUGACCGCCCCCUCCCCCAGGGGACUGCGUGCGGCAGACGGUUCGCAGCCAUGGCGUCCUGGGCCUGUACCG